RNAcentral lists this ribosomal RNA (301 nucleotides) under uncultured bacterium. Its description in RNAcentral is "partial 16S ribosomal RNA". It matches the Rfam family "Bacterial small subunit ribosomal RNA", at positions 509 to 807 of the family's 1533-position model. The record is from RNAcentral.
CAGUCGCCGCGGGAAUACGUAGGUGGCAAGCGUUGUCCGGAAUUAUUGGGCGUAAAGGGCUCGCAGGCGGUUUCUUAAGUCUGAUGUGAAAGCCCCCGGCUCAACCGGGGAGGGUCAUUGGAAACUGGGAAACUUGAGUGCAGAAGAGGAGAGUGGAAUUCCACGUGUAGCGGUGAAAUGCGUAGAGAUGUGGAGGAACACCAGUGGCGAAGGCGACUCUCUAGUCUGUAACUGACGCUGAGGAGCGAAAGCGUGGGGAGCGAACAGGAUUAGAGACCCCUGUAGUCCCUGUCUCUUAUAC